GCGAUGUGCUCAAGUAAGCAGUAAGCAACCCGCUGCCAUUGUCCUGGACAAAAUGCAAAGCUGUUUUCGGCAUUUACUAUUGCAAAUAUUAAGGCUCUUUUAAUGCAAGAGAAAGAAAACCAGCUACAACCACCUAAAAUCAAAUGGGGAGUUUCAUGGUGCACAUCCACAAAGUGGACAUGUCAGGACAGGGGAACAUCUGGAUCACAAGAAUGCCGGUUCCCAAAGACAAUAAGGAUGGUUUCCAGCCUCUACUAUUUCUGCACUGCGAAGCCAUCAUCUCCAUUUCAGACUUUCCCACUAAGCAGGAAAUACAAUUGCCAACAGCAGCUAGCUUCGUACCUCAAAGCAACACCAGAAAGAAGAAGCAUUUCCAUCGAGGGAAGGAGUGAGUGUAAGGAGUAUUUCCCCCAAAAGGUAAGAUUGCUUUCUCAGAAUAUGGGAGGAGCUGAGUAGGGCAUGAUAAAUGUCUUCUCUGGAGAGGCUCUUAACAAAAAGCAAAAAUAUCAUCAGUAAGAAAUUCUGGUGAAAAUUAUUAGUAUGGAUAAAGACUCCUGGGGGUGGGCGGGCUAAAGAAAGAAGACAGAAUGAUGAAAAACAGAAAUCAGUGACAAAGGCAGAUUUCCAUAGCAAAAAUUAUAGAAUGUGAAACAAGGUGGACCCUUUGUCCCAGCUCCUCCUCCUUACCACCUGUAGGACUCUGUAGAAGCAUGCAGAGACGCAGCUGAAUGCUAGUCCGUUUGUUUUGUUAUGUUUUGUUUUUAAAUCCCUUUACCACAUCCGUAAUCCAGUUCAUAGAGCAAUCUUCAAUCCUUCAUGCUUUUAUAUCUUCCUAGAUAACAGGUAACUUCUUUGGAAUAAGGCAAGGUAUAAACAUGAAAACAAAUAAAUAUUUUUGGUGAAGUCUAAUUCAGCUUCGUGUUGUUCCCAGUAGAGUAAUUAAGAUAUAUUAUUUUCCUAUUUAACUAAUAUGGAAAUUAAAGGACAAAAUGUUUAAACAGUAUGCCCUGACAGUAGAUGAGUCAUAGCAGAAACUGUGAUUCCUUGCAGUCAUCUGAACUUUUCUGCCUAACCACCAGUCACAAAUUAUUUUGGGUCCCUGGUGGGAACCUCAAAUCAGCUAUACCCAGGGCAUCAAACCAAGCAGCAGUUACUAGGUCUGAGAGAGAAGAGAGCAGAGAGAAAAUCAGUCUGAUAAGCCCUUACAUGAGUCAGUAAGAUUGAGACCACGAUUUCUUGAAUUGUAAGUGAAGAAACUGGGCUAAAAAAUUCCCAAGUCCUUCCAGAGAAGUGCUGUAACGCCGUCUCUGAGCUAGUGCGUUUCAGAAAAAGUUGGUCCUAUUAGGUUUUGUGUAGCUACCCUACUAGAUAUCAGAGAGACUGACACCUGCAGUGACUUCAGAGGAAAGCAGAGGCAGCACUGCCAAAGAGGCCGUGACUACCCAACCGAGAGAGAUGUGUUACGAUUUACUCAACUGUUUAUUUGCCAGGCCUUUAAUCUGAAAAUGAUGGCCUGGCUUUCAUAAAACCAUGCAAAAAUCUGCUAUAGAAUGUCCCUACGCCUCAAUUCUGGCUUCGAGCCUGGCAGUGGGGGAGGGCAAGUAUAUGCUUCCACAAAAGGACAAAAGACUCCACCAUCCCUUAGAAUUGUUCGGCUGCUUUUUUUAGUUUGUUUUAUUCUUGGCUUGCUUGUUUGCAUGGGUGGUUACAAAAUCUUUAAAAAGUGAAAAAGAGUGCAGAAUUUUCAGUACCCUGACUCAAGGAUGCAGUCCACUAGCCUAUUCACAGUUUGCAUCUCUGACCUUCACAGACUGAUUUUCUCUUCUUUACUCCUUUUGUAUUGAAUGUGUGCUGUAAACUCACAUUGCUUGAGUAUGUACACAAUGUCUCCACUAUAUUUCUAAUCCUGCAUGGAACGGAUUAAACUAUCAGCAUUCUCUCACCUGUGCACUUUUCCCUUACCAAGAAUUUAAAAAAAAAACAACUGUUUAUAAGUUUAGACUAACAAGAGCUGAGAGAGCCUGAGUCAUAAAAAUGAUAAUUAUAACCAAUCUUCCAAGUAUUAUUACCAUCACUACUAUUAGAAAACAAAAAUACAUCUCUUCUUAAUUUUAUUAAAGCCUUCCUUAAUCUUUUGCAUCUGAUAUCUCUCCCAAAGAAAGAGAAGAACAAAGAAGCAUAAAGAUUGAUUACUGCUUCUCCUGCUGAGCUCACCAUGAGAUCUCAUUGUGCAUUCAUGCCUUGAGAAGACAGUGCUGCCGAAC
This 2264-nucleotide long non-coding RNA is filed under the name Homo sapiens (human). RNAcentral's name for it is "HSALNT0081228". Lineage: Eukaryota; Metazoa; Chordata; Mammalia; Primates; Hominidae. The record is from RNAcentral.